GCCCGUCCAACUAAACCCCUGCCCGGAAUUCUUAUAUUCCCAGUCCCCGUCUUUAAAGCCUCUCAAACCUCCCUCUUACUCUUCCCUCAGAAUCCUAACCCUCAUCUCCCCCUUCCGCUCCGGCGAUCCGAAGCCCUAGAAGACAGAGAAUGGCAGCUCUCUAUUCCAAGGUCCUCUCCCUCCUCUUCGCGGCGGUCCUCGUCGUGAUCGCCCUCGCCGGCGGAGCUGCCGCGGCGGAGGCCCCCGCCCCGAGUCCCACAUCCGGCGCUGGGGCCCUCUCCACUCCCCUCGCCGCCGCCCUUCUCUCCUCGUCCGUGGCGCUCCUGAUCGGGUCCCUGCGCCAUUGAACGCUCCGACGGCUCCGUUAUCAGGUCUCGUCCUUCCGGUUCCGGAUCCGACGGCGUCUGAUGCGUAUCUAGGCUUACCUACAUACUCUCUGGACAUGCGUUUGUUAGUAGAUUCUUUGUUAUAGCAUUGUUUUGGAUCUUAUCUCUAUUGACGGCAUCUCCGGCGCCUCUAUGGAUGCUGGAACUCGACUGGUGUUAGGGUGUUUCGGUUUGAUGGUUUGAUCCAUAGAUCUGAUCUGUAUGAGACUUUUUAUAUACAGAUAUAUUACUCUUGGUUUGAUCUGUUCUGUUAGUUUUAUACUUCUCUUUGUACGACUUUUUUUAUGGAUUCCGGGAUUUUCUUUUGAUGUCACUGCGAGAAAAAUUUCAUUUGAUUCCCCAAA
This 730-nucleotide long non-coding RNA is filed under the name Phoenix dactylifera (date palm). RNAcentral describes it as "long non-coding RNA (PDAC_LNC008448)". The record is from RNAcentral. Lineage: Eukaryota; Viridiplantae; Streptophyta; Magnoliopsida; Arecales; Arecaceae.